UGCCUUCUUUUCGCCGAGAUUCUUGUAACAAAAAGAUGAAUGUUAUGUGUGCAGAAUUAUAACUGCACACACACUGUCCCAGUGACCCGUAAUGGGGCAUUUUUAAACUUUAAAUAUGUCAGUAGUUUCCAGGCUCUCUGGCAGAAUUACUGGUGCACGGGAAUGAAAGUAAAUCAAAAAAAAGCCUGAAAGACGCGGGUGCAGUAAAUUCUGGCGGUGGUCGGUUGCCUGAAAUGUGUUGUGAAUUACAGCCCAGGCCUCUGCAAAGGCUGGGUGAAAGGAUGCAACAACACCAGUGAAUUAGUUCACAGGAGCCGGGCAGCGACUGAAGACCAGAUUAAAUGACGUGUAUAACCCGAAAGCACGAGGUUGCAUUGGGACUUGAACCAAAGUGGAAAUUCUACAUGCAUCACAACAGUGAUGUUUUAAAUAAAAUGCCGAAUCCAGCCCUAAUGAACACAGAUUUCUUUCAGUCGUAGUUGUUUGAGGAUUUGAAUUGUUACGUGGUGAACUUUUAUAGCAUUGACACGAAAGUGUGAAGGUGAAACACUAUCUGCUAAUUUUCAGCCUUACAGAAUCGGCCGUGUCGGUGACAAAGGAGAGACGAUGAUGGGAUUUUAUAACAUGCCGCUUGACAAACCGAGUGUUUCCAGCAUCUGAAACCUUUUGUUCACCGUACACAUGAACAUAUACACGCUGAAGGGCACACGGAUACUGGGCUUACAAGGGUUGUGAGAAGCACCGAGAUGCAAACGCACAUUUCACCACAAUGUGAUUAUUCAUGAAGAUAAUAGUAAGAGAAGACCAGUAAUGACCUUUCUUGUGACAUUAAUAAUCCAUUUUCUACAAACAACGACUAUAAAUAUGCGGUUUAAACGAAAUUGUCAUUUUAAGAGGACCAAAUAAAAGUGGAGAAAAUACUUCUGUCUUUGUUAGCUGCUCGAUCCUUGUUCUGCUUGUUUUAAUGGAGUAACUUUCUCCGAGACAUUCCCAGUCUUUCUUUGAUAACAAUCACUGUGCGGAUCCAGUGUCAUAUAAGCCAUUCGAACAACCGCGUUUACGCACCACACACAUCCUGCAGCCGCACAACAAUUUUGUACUUGGACCACUCUCUUCGCCAUCAAAGCAGGAAAAGAACCCGCACGAUUUGCAUCUGAAUUGAGUUUAGAUGGAUGACACCAAUAAUCUCAGAAUCAAAGGGACCCCUCGUUCGGAGUGAACCCGACACCUGUUGCGGGGGACUACCAUGCAGAAGCUCUCAAUUUGAUAUUUUAUCAGGUUAUGAAAAGGAAAACGACACUUUAAGUGCAACACUACCAACCCAGUAUCAGAUUUUAUUCCGCCAGAUGUAUUGCAAGGGGUGAAAACAACACAUUUUGUCCUGUCAUGAAAGAACUUGCCUUUUCUUUUGGAACCUCUAACUGAACUGCACUUUCUUCUGUCAAAUAACAUUAUUUGCUUCAUUUGGGAGAUUAGCCGGAGAAAAAACCUAAAGUAUUUAACCCUUAGAUUUGGAAACUUUAUUUUGUGUUUUAAACGAUCGAUUUGAAUGCGUAUCUUCGAAAGGGAAAGCACAGCAAAUAUCUCAGUCCAAAUUUAAUAAACACCCAAUACUUCGAAAUCAAAGCGUGUAAAUUUUCGGGCUUAACAUCUUUGAAAGUGUAACACUUUUAGGCAUACGAAUGCAAAACACCAGCGUUUCAAAUAGUUAUCUCCACAUGUGAAAAGGUCAUAGUUUAAACUGCAGUUUCAUUCAGUAACGUCAGCGUUGUGAAAAGUCCCGUUAUUUGUAAACUCGUCUUAAUCCUGGUAUUAAACGUGACAGUCCACAUAACGUCCUAAUUGGUUUACAGCUCCAAGUUUUUUUUGUUUUUGAACUAAAAUACAUCUGCUUUUCUUUGUAACUAGGAAUGUAACCAUAAACAACGUACAACAUCAGACUCCUAAGAAAUA
Long non-coding RNA from Stegostoma tigrinum, 1953 nucleotides. RefSeq lists it as uncharacterized. The transcript has 3 exons. The record is from RefSeq and is a predicted model, not a curated record. Lineage: Eukaryota; Metazoa; Chordata; Chondrichthyes; Orectolobiformes; Stegostomatidae.